Molecule: ribosomal RNA, 1714 nt
Filed under: Angulamoeba microcystivorans
Lineage: Eukaryota; Evosea; Variosea
Description: SSU rRNA
Rfam family: Eukaryotic small subunit ribosomal RNA
Source: RNAcentral
UACACGAGAGUGUAUUUANAUGGAUAACCNCNGAAAAUCUGCGGCUAAUACAUGCAGGAAAGCUCCNCAAGGAGUANCAUUUAUCANCUUGAGAUGGAUGCUGGGGNAACUCANCUUGGUGAGUCAUGAUAAANAUGCUGAUCGCAUGANCUUGUUCUCNGCGACNGUUCGUUCGACUUUCCGCCCUAUCAACUUUGGAUGGUAGUAUAGAGGACUACCAUGGUGGUAACGGGGUGACGGAGAAUUAGGGUUCGGUUCCGGAGAGGGAGCCUGAGAGAUGGCUACUACUUCCAAGGAAGGCAGCAGGCGCGAAAAUUGCCAAACCAACUAAGUUGGAGGCAGUGACAAUAAAUAUCUGCGGGUUCUAUGAAUCCGACUGGAAUGAGAUGGAUGUAAACAAUCCUACGAGUAUCAAUUGGAGGAAAAGUCUGGUGCCAGCACCCGCGGUAAUUCCAGCUCCAAGAGCGUAUAUUCAAGUUGCUGCAGUUAAAAAGCUCGUAGUUGGGUGGGGGAUGAAAGGUAGAAGGAGAAGGGGAACCGGAUCUGGAAACUUUUUAUCCAUUUAUGGAGAGUAGCUUGUUAGAUGACCUUAACUGGUUGUUUAAUAUAGCCUCUCCCGUUGACCGUGCUUAAAUUCGCGUGUUCAAAGCAAGCAAUUUCGCUUGAAGAGUCUAGCAUGGGAUCAUAAAAUAUGAAGUUUACUCAAUUGUCUAUCUCUUGAGUAUGACUUAAUGACAAAUAGGGGCAAGCGGGGGCGGAGGGAUUCCGUUGUUAGAGGUGAAAUUCUUAGACCAACGGAGGACCAACAGAAGCCAAAGCGUCCGUCAAGGGUGUACCCAUUGAUCAAGAACGAAAGUUAGGGGAUCAAAUACGAUCAGACACCGUAGUAGUCCUAACCUUAAACGAUACCGACCGGGGAUGGGGAGAGGUAAUACUCUUAACCCUUCCUGUACCCUGCGAGAAAUCAAGAGUGUUUGGGUUCCGGGGGGAGUACGGUCGCAAGGCUGAAACUUAAAGGAAUUGACGGAAGGACACACAAGAAGUGGAACCUGCGGCUUCCAAUUCGACUCAACACGGGAAAACUUACCAGGUCCAGACAUGGGAAGGAUGGACAGAUUGAUAGCUCUUUCUUGAUUCCAUGAGUGGUGGUGCAUGGCCGUUCUUAGUUGGUGGAGUGAUUUGUCUGGUUGAUUCCGAUAACGAACGAGACCACGAGAGGGUGGUUGAGGUUGUAGAUGAGGAAUGAAAAUGGGGGAAGGGUUAAUUGUAACUGGCUUCGGUUAGUUCGGUUAAUUUGGAACCUUUGUUCCUUUCUACACUUACCUACCCCGACCGAAGUGUUUUAACACUUAGGAAGGUCGUGGCAAUAACAGGUCUGUGAUGCCCUUAGAUGUUCUGGGCUGCACGCGCGUUACACUGACUAAGUGAAAAAGUUUUUUUUGCUUGACUGAGAGGUCUGGCAAAUCUUUUAAACCUAGUCGUGAUGGGGAUAGAUGGUUGAAAUUAGGCAUCUUGAACGAGGAAUUCCUAGUAAACGUGGUUGAUCAAACCGCGUUGAUUACGUCCCUGCCCUUUGUACACACCGCCCGUCGCUCCUACCGAUUGAAUGAAAAGGUGAAAAGAAGGGAAGGAGGNAUAGCAAUAUNCUAAUAGAACGUCUUUGAACCAUUUCAUUUAGAGGAAGGAGAAGUCGUAACAAGGUUUUCGUAGGUGA